UCCCUGGUGGCUCAGAGGUUAAAGCAUCUGCCUGCAAUGCGGGAGAUCCAGGAUCGAUCCCUGGGUCGGGAA
RNAcentral lists this transfer RNA (72 nucleotides) under Ovis aries (sheep). It matches the Rfam family "tRNA". From Rfam's summary of the family: Transfer RNA (tRNA) molecules are approximately 80 nucleotides in length. Their secondary structure includes four short double-helical elements and three loops (D, anti-codon, and T loops). Further hydrogen bonds mediate the characteristic L-shaped molecular structure. tRNAs have two regions of fundamental functional importance: the anti-codon, which is responsible for specific mRNA codon recognition, and the 3' end, to which the tRNAs corresponding amino acid is attached (by aminoacyl-tRNA synthetases). tRNAs cope with the degeneracy of the genetic code in two manners: having more than one tRNA (with a specific anti-codon) for a particular amino acid; and 'wobble' base-pairing, i.e. permitting non-standard base-pairing at the 3rd anti-codon position. Lineage: Eukaryota; Metazoa; Chordata; Mammalia; Artiodactyla; Bovidae. The record is from Rfam by way of RNAcentral.